GACGAACGCUGGCGGCGUGCUAAACACAUGCAAGUCGAACGGAAAGGCUCCAGCUUGCUGGAGUACUCGAGUGGCGAACGGGUGAGUAACACGUGGGUGAUCUGCCCUGCACUUCGGGAUAAGCCUGGGAAACUGGGUCUAAUACCGGAUAGGACCGCACUUUGGUGUGUGUGGUGGAAAGGUUUUUCUGGUGUGGGAUGAGCUCGCGGCCUAUCAGUUUGUUGGUGGGGUAAUGGCCUACCAAGACGGCGACGGGUAGCCGGCCUGAGAGGGUGGACGGUCACAUUGGGACUGAGAUACGGCCCAGACUCCUACGGGAGGCAGCAGUGGGGAAUAUUGCACAAUGGGGGAAACCCUGAUGCAGCGACGCCGCGUGGGGGAUGAAGGCCUUCGGGUUGUAAACUCCUUUCGCUAGGGACGAAGCUUUUUGUGACGGUACCUGGAGAAGAAGCACCGGCUAACUACGUG
Molecule: ribosomal RNA, 468 nt
Filed under: uncultured bacterium
Lineage: Bacteria
Description: partial 16S ribosomal RNA
Rfam family: Bacterial small subunit ribosomal RNA
Source: RNAcentral